UUUUUUUUUUUUUGCACUAUUGACUUUUGCAAUUGGUUGAGAACAAUGUUGAUUUCAAUGGUUUUACCCUUCUCUAUCUACAGGUCAAGUUCAAGUUUUCAUUCCUCUUGUUGAAUGACAACAGUCAAUUACUGGAAAAUGACUUUGUGUUCACUGUAAACUGUGUAUUUUUCUAACAAAUUUAUUUAUUGCUCUUUAUUUUUGCUGUAUCAAAUGAAAAUACAAUGUUUAUGGUACAGUAUGCAAAACAUCUAUGUUGGUGCAUACCAGACCAACUAUUAAUAAUCAUAUUCAGUGCUUUACAUGUUUUAAGCUUUACAUGUUAACAUCAUAGCUGUUUUUUGUUGUUGUUUGUUUGUUUUUUACUUAUAUGUAAAAAUUUUACAAAGCCUUUACUACAUUUUAGGAAAUUUACUGGGAGUUUGGAAGUGACUUAUAACCCAGGAUCAUUUUUCCCAUUUUAAAUAAUGGAAAAAUUUGCUUCCAGUUAUCAUUUUCCUGCAGAGUAUUGGUGUUUCAGGAUUUUCAGUCUACUAAUGUUAACUAAGGGAUACCUGUAGGUUUUUUUAAUCGUGUCUUUCAUUUUGCUCAUAGUUUCAAGUUCUUAGGGAAUUAUCUUCCUCGUUAUGUAAAUAUAUUGACAUUCAAAUUGAGAUUUAUCAUUGUAUGGUUUUUGUAGUAUUGGUGGUGUGUGGGUGUGUGUAACUGGGGCGGGGGGCGGGGGUAGAGAAAGAAAGGGGAGGAGAAAGAGAAAGAAAGAAGGAACUAUUCUUUUGCAAGACAUUUUUUUCCUAGUAAGAAUCCUGCAUGUCCUUACUUCUAGAAUGUCCCUCUAGAGAGGUUCUCUGUUUGCUACUGCUUUGGGCCCCAUGGAUAUCACCAAGCUAGGAUCAGUUUUAUGGUAACGUAUCAGCUUAGAGAUUUCUUCACCACUAAUGUAUCACAAAUUCAGAUGCAAUCCCCUCCUCAGUGCUGACUUGGAAUUUUUCUUUUUUACUGAACACUUUUUUUUCCCCAUGUAAAGCAUCAGGAGGAAUAAAUUUCACGUUCUCCAAGGCAAUGGAUGAGAUUCUUUUUAGUCCUCUUUUCCAGAGAUGGCUCAGUGAAAUUUUUCAGAUACAUUUACUAAGGCUCUCGACUCUGUCUCUCUUGAUGGAUCCAAGGUCUUGUUUUAUGCCCUUUUGUAAAAGUUAAACUAUCGAGUCUUUUGCCACAAAGGGCCUAUGUCUGGAUCCUGUAACUACUCGAAACUGCCACCAAUCCAUCUACCAAUCCCACCACUCUAGACUUUAAUCCGCAAUUGUUUUCUACAAGAAAGUUAUCUUCUUUGUGUCCUGAAGCAUGUAUUUGAAUUUCUGAAUCUUUCAGUGAGAAACUUUUGCAUAUUAAUCUUUUUCAAAUAGUCCAUUCCUACAACUAAAUAUUGAUUGAAAAAGUUAAAAUUAUUUCUCUCAAAAAGCCCAGUUUUUAGGACUUUCUGUAUCUUAUUCUCCUUUUGAAUUGAUUAAAGCUGCUUUGCCCUUCCCUUCUUCUCCCUGCCCAUGUGGUUAUCAUGGUAGGCUCAACUCCCUCUCAGGAAGAAAUCAGGAGUAAGAAUUUGAUCAUCGUAUUCAAACAAGACUGUGGUGGAUUGUACUGUC
Molecule: long non-coding RNA, 1640 nt
Filed under: Sus scrofa (pig)
Lineage: Eukaryota; Metazoa; Chordata; Mammalia; Artiodactyla; Suidae
Description: lncRNA (ENSSSCG00015030868.1)
Source: RNAcentral